AUACCAGCACCCCGAGUGGUCGGGACGAUUAUUGGGCCUAAAGCAUCCGUAGCCGGUGUAGCAAGUCCUCCGUUAAAUCCACUUGCUCAACAAGUGGGCUGCGGAGGAUACUGCUACACUAGGGGGCGCGAGAGGCGAGGGGUAUUCCACGGGUAGGGGUAAAAUCCUCUGAUCCGUGGAGGACCACCAGUGGCGAAGGCGCCUCGCCAGAACGCGCCCGACGGUGAGGGAUGAAAGCUGGGGGAGCAAACCGAAGUAGAUACCCUAGUAGUCC
RNAcentral lists this ribosomal RNA (274 nucleotides) under uncultured bacterium. RNAcentral describes it as "partial 16S ribosomal RNA". It matches the Rfam family "Archaeal small subunit ribosomal RNA", at positions 473 to 747 of the family's 1478-position model. The record is from RNAcentral.